UUAAAAAUAGUUUUUGGAGAAAAGCAGUAAGGCUACAACAUGGUGAAAAAAGUUAAGAAAUUGAGAUUUCCACCGAAAGAAGGUUGAAGAAAGUAGCCAAAAGUGUUAUAAAAUGAAAUUAGACUGUAGAAGUUGAAUUGGCAAUGACAUUUGCACAAAAAUAAUGAAAUAUGACAGUCGAUUUCAAAGUCCAACAUCAAGU
This 202-nucleotide small RNA is filed under the name Vigna angularis var. angularis. RNAcentral's name for it is "Non-protein coding transcript". Lineage: Eukaryota; Viridiplantae; Streptophyta; Magnoliopsida; Fabales; Fabaceae. The record is from RNAcentral.